CCUUUGUGUCCCCCCCUCCCCCGAGAGAGAAAGUGCCGAGAGAAAGUUAAAGGAACACUUUUGGGAUGUUGAGGUACCUAGUAUCACCUCUGGUUCGUCUGGAUUCUCUCGAGCUCUAAUGGCGUAAGUACGAGCUGGAGCUUUCGGUUCAACUCGCGAUAUAGCCUCUGACAUAGCUCUUUGACCUUCUCCAGCUACAAAGCUUGGUCCUGUAUUUUGUCUUUUCUAUGGAGUGAAUUCAGAUUUUGGAGUGACUAUGGCAUCAUUAUUCUUUGG
Long non-coding RNA from Salvia hispanica, 276 nucleotides. RefSeq lists it as uncharacterized. The record is from RefSeq and is a predicted model, not a curated record. Lineage: Eukaryota; Viridiplantae; Streptophyta; Magnoliopsida; Lamiales; Lamiaceae.